Molecule: long non-coding RNA, 246 nt
Filed under: Capsicum annuum
Lineage: Eukaryota; Viridiplantae; Streptophyta; Magnoliopsida; Solanales; Solanaceae
Description: long non-coding RNA (CANN_LNC001647)
Source: RNAcentral
UCCAGACCCAGUCUAAGGUCCCUACUCCUUAUUGUGCUGCCCCACAUGGAGUUCCACCGCUCCCUACUAGUCCUCCUCGAGCUUUUUGUGCUGGUGAUACUUAUGCUCAGUCACCUUAGGGAGACAUCCCCAAAGCGGAGUUCCGUCAGUCAGUUCAUAUUCUUACUCAGUUGGUGGCAUCACAGUCUCAUCAGUCUGACCAUGUUGGUUUUAUUGCUCAUUCAUCUGAGGUCACUCGGGUUGGCC